AUCGCCGGAACUGUUGACGUUUUAUACUGAUCUGAAAUGCGAUCAAUUUCGACCUUAUUCUGCCAAAUGUUCCUUUUCCAAAUACUUGCGAGCAGAAAUUGUUGUCUCAUUAUAUAGCAGAGUGUCAAAUUCAUGCAUCUUGCGUGAAAUGUCUUGCUGAAAAAUGCUUCGGACACAGACGCUUCAUUCAGAACAGAUGAUCAUUCAUUCAUGAUUUGCAUGCACUGACCCACCACCAACAGUGUAUAGGCUACAAUACAUGUACAUAUGUACAUGUAGGGCCCUACAUGCAAUGUAGGGCCAUAGCCCUGUUGAGUGUUAGUGGUGAAGCCUGGCCACCAUAGGCCUAAAGGCUUUGAAAUGUCCACACUGAAUUCAGUCGAAAUCCACUGCCGAGACCAGAAGGCCUACUGGUCUGACUGGUCACUCGUCGUGAGACUGUUCAUUCAAUCUGGACGUUUUGAUCUGGCAGUCUGGGACUGGAUGGGUCAUUGUCUGAAUUGUCUGCAGUCUUAUUGAUAGUUGUAAGUUUUGCAGUGCAGUUUGCCUGAGACAUUUGAUCAUCCAGGACCACCAGGUCCAGUCGGUGUUCAGUAGUGUAGCUUAUUUAAUUUUAUGUCUUUGGAAAGAGAAGUUCGUUCUGUGGAUGCUUUCUUGGCUCCUUCCUGUCCUCUACUAAAUGUCUUUAUGAUUAUCUACCAACUCUGUAUUUUUAACUGGUUAUUAUCGAAUGAAAUGGCCGGGUCGAAAUUGAGUACUCUUGUAGAUUACAUUGAAUAACAACAGUACCUGGUACAUCAUCGAAUUGAUAUAUCGGAUCUCAGUAGGGUCUCCGCAUGAUCCUUUCCUUUUGACAGGGUUCCGGGUAUGGAUACCUGGCAGCAACACAAUGCUUGCCUGCAUUAACAAGAGUGGUAGGCCUAGAUAGAUGGAAAUUCUAUAAUGCAUAGGAUGAAGGCAUUGAUGAGGAGGCAUUUUGUAUGUUGGACGAUGGAACAAUAAAGGAGCUGAUUCCAAAAAUUGGUACCAGAAUGAAGUUUACAAGGAAGAACCGCAAUCUACUACUAUGUAAUAGUCAUGAUAGUAGUCUUGGGGGGAACAGAGUGUAGUUGCAAUGCAACUUCUACCGAUCAUGCUCCCCCCCCCCCCCCCCCCCAGGCCAACGAAAGGUCAUAGACCAUCCGUGACUGAGGCAAUGUCAUCGUUCAUACAGUAUCAAGCAGGUAUAGAGUUAUUGCCUACAUGUAGUUUUUGCGAUUUGAGCAUGGCGACCUUGAAUAUUGCAUACAGAUUUUUGAUUGUAUUAUAACAAAUACAUAAUUUUUGGAAUAUCCUACUGGACUGCAUUAUUGUGUGGCAAUUCAUUGACGACUUUGGUGAUCUCUGAUGAAUUUCUGUUGUAAAUACAUGUAGAUGUUAAUCCGACUAAAUCUGCUAGACUAUAAAGAGGAAGAUCCUUUGAUAUUUGCCAAGGUCUGGGCAUUUAUAGUGUGAGGAUACAUGUAUCUUGGGAUUACUGUCAAGGGGCAAUGUACAGCUCUAGAAAUAAUUAUUAUACCACCUGUCUUUCUAGCCUAUAGCUCAUUAUUCUCACUCUCUCUGUAAUAAUUCUUUCCAGAGCUGUAUCUAGGGGUUUUUUUCCUGAAACCAUUUUACUGUUUUCAUAUUGAUAGUAAUGGACUGUUAACUUUUAUUGUCAUUGAAAGAUUUCUACUUUAGAUGCAAUUUGAAUGUCAUUUGAAAACUAUAGUUAAUUAUGAAUUUCUGUUGUAAAUACAUGUAGAUGUUAAUCAGACUAAAUCUGCAUUCAAUUUGAAUGUAUGAAUUGAAAACUAUAGUUAAUGAUAAAUUUCUGUUGUAAAUACAUGUAGAUGUUAAUCAGACUAAAUCUGCUAGAGUAUAAAGAGGAAGAUCCUAUGAUAUUUGCAAAGGUCUGGCCAUUUAUAGUGUGCGGAUAUCUUGGGAUUACUGUAUAGGGGGCAAUGUAUCAAGGGGUUAUUGUUCUGAAAACGUUUUACUGCUUUCAAAUUGAAUGAAUGUGAAAUGAAUUGUUAACUUAAUUGUCAUUGAUAGAUUUCUACUUUACAUGCCAGUCACAAAUUUGAAUGUAAUGAGUUGAAAACUAUAGUUAAUGAUAAAUUUCUGUUGUAAAUACAUGUAGAUG
Molecule: long non-coding RNA, 2164 nt
Organism: Lineus longissimus
Lineage: Eukaryota; Metazoa; Nemertea; Pilidiophora; Heteronemertea; Lineidae
Exons: 3
Source: RefSeq, a predicted model, not a curated record